RNAcentral lists this ribosomal RNA (443 nucleotides) under uncultured bacterium. Its description in RNAcentral is "partial 16S ribosomal RNA". It matches the Rfam family "Bacterial small subunit ribosomal RNA", at positions 338 to 795 of the family's 1533-position model. The record is from RNAcentral.
ACUACGGGAGGCAGCAGUGGGGAAUAUUGGGCAAUGGGCGCAAGCCUGACCCAGCAACGCCGCGUGAAGGAAGAAGGCUUUCGGGUUGUAAACUUCUUUUCUCAGGGACGAAGCAAGUGACGGUACCUGAGGAAUAAGCCACGGCUAACUACGUGCCAGCAGCCGCGGUAAUACGUAGGUGGCAAGCGUUAUCCGGAUUUACUGGGUGUAAAGGGCGUGUAGGCGGGAAAGCAAGUCAGAUGUGAAAACCAUGGGCUCAACCUGUGGCCUGCAUUUGAAACUGUUUUUCUUGAGUACUGGAGAGGCAGACGGAAUUCCUAGUGUAGCGGUGAAAUGCGUAGAUAGUAGGAGGAACACCAGUGGCGAAGGCGGUCUGCUGGACAGCAACUGACGCUGAGGCGCGAAAGCGUGGGGAGCAAACAGGAUUAGAUACCCUAGUAGUC